GGACAUGACCAAUGGGCUUUGGAC
This 24-nucleotide non-coding RNA is filed under the name Arabidopsis thaliana (thale cress). Lineage: Eukaryota; Viridiplantae; Streptophyta; Magnoliopsida; Brassicales; Brassicaceae. The record is from RNAcentral.